Molecule: long non-coding RNA, 3387 nt
Filed under: Lathyrus oleraceus (garden pea)
Lineage: Eukaryota; Viridiplantae; Streptophyta; Magnoliopsida; Fabales; Fabaceae
Description: Pisum sativum (pea) long non-coding RNA (PSAT_LNC010046)
Rfam family: U5 spliceosomal RNA (bases 1170-1286)
Source: RNAcentral
CGGCGAGUCACCACUCACAAACGAAAAUAGUAAAACACUUCACCAAACCAACAAAUAGAAAAGGCACUUUAAUAUGAUGCGCGAAGCUACAAGAAUCUUCCAUGUUCUCUUUCUGAAGCAAGGUAAACAGUAUCAUUCCCAUCUCAAAAAAUAUAGUUUUUUUUUCUUCUGAUUAGAUUUUUUGGGAAUCAUUUCGGAGCAGCGAUUUUUUUGGACUUUGAAAAUCAUAACCAAAUCACUAUAUGAUUAUUGUACAAAAUAAGGUGUUUAAUAACUUCAUAGACCAUUGUUGACUUGAUUUAUGGAAGAUAAUGAGUUGUUAUCUGUUGAUUACUAGUGUUCUCGAGAUGUUAGUUUAUGCAAUUCAAUGUUUGCUAUAUUCACAAUCAGUGUAUGCAAAAAGUACAAAAAGUGCUACCAUUGUCACUGAAGAUAAAAAACCUAGCUUAUAAUCCUGACUUGUUCGUGAUGUUUAAUGUAUUUCUUCUGUUUACAAGCAGUUUGAUAUACACUGACCUCUGCACUUUCAAUUGAGCUGUGAAGAGCUGAUGAGUGAGCUAAGCUAGUUGUCAACUAAUGUCCACAUGAUGCCUAAUUUUUUAUGAAGAGAAUCCAUAACUGUACUUGGAGUUCAAAGGUAUCGACGUGAGUCUUGUGUACGACACAAAUGAGGGUUUGGUUAAUGUGUCAGAUUCUUGCGGAGUAAUUUUCAGAGACAAGGUGAGUAUGUUGUUUCAUCUUCUAUAUUUCAAUUGUUGCUGGAUUGAAUUUUAGUUAUUAAAUUUAGUGAAGCCAUUGUUUUGUGCCGAUGUUGUCAUCAGAACAAUAUAUCUUUUGGUUCAAGAUGAAACUAAGUUGUACGUGUUACUUUCAUGUCUUUGUUUGGACAGAUGUUGUAAUACACUGGAUCAUAUAAAGGUGUCAGAUUAGCUUCGGGUCAGGAUUUAUAUAGUUGCCAGCUUAUCCUAAACCCCUUGUCUUUCAGGAUUCUAUCAACACUGUCUUUGUCUUCCAAUGAAAGCUUCGUAUGUUUAUUCAUUGUAGAGGGUAGAAAAGGUAGAGGGCAAAUGAGUGGGUAGCUGACUAAAGUCCCACAUUGUCUGUGUGCAUUAAAAAAACUAAGCCGAUCAGACAUAAAAUGAAAGGACCUUUACAUUUAAUUUUCACGAAGCCGUGUGAUAAUGACAUAGCGAACUAUUCUUUCGCCUUUUACUAAAGAAUACCGUGUCAGUGUCACAUUUAGCGGCAUGCGCUAGUUUUUGGAAGAGUCCUCUUUAUUGAGGGCUCUACAACCUUAGUUUAAGUUUGCAUAUUCAUGUUCUUUGUCAUGCCUCACGAUUAGCUGGAGGCAAUGUGAACAAUGGGUAAGCUCUGAAACUGACCUAGAGAGAGGAUCAAAUUGAAAGGAAUUUGAGAGAUAAAUUGACAUUGAAGGCAAUGUUUUCUGAAUAUGUUUCAACUUUCGAAAAUGCAUAUUACAACUCAAGAUUGCUAUGUUAUGAAUGUUUAGUGAAGUCGUUGCAAUUAAGGGGCGCUAGCCUAAGGUCUACCCAAGUGGUGGCGCUAGCCUGAGGUCUACCCAAGUGGUGGAGCAUAUAUCAUAAUUUGUUGCUGUGGGGACUUGUGUUCUCGCAUACCCUCCUAAUUAUGUUUAAAAAUCAAAAUCAUGGUCGGCUAGUACUAGGGAGUUUUUCAUAGUUUGACAAAGCUAUUUUUUAACAUGUUUCAUUGAAAGAAACUAAACAUAGUGGCCUCAAAAGUCAUAUUUAGACCAACUGAAGCAGAAUAAGAAUAAAACUACACAAUCUUUGCAGCAUAUGCAGAAUAAUUUUAGACCAACAAAGAAAUUAAAAAACAAAGAUUUUAACCGAAUCAAACACAAGUAAGAGCUCAGUUGCAACAUAUGCAGAAUCUCUUGCCAAUUUUGAUACAGAAACAUCAAUUAAGACAAUGGAGUCAGUGAGAUGCACUUCACUAGAAAUUUCUGCUAUUACCUUAAUAAAAUUUGAAAUUCUCAUAUAUUAAUUUAUAGCUCUUUACCACACAAUUGGCAUUUAGAGUUCUAUAUCUUUUGAACUUAAACCAACCAUAUUUGCCUAUAUCUGGAAGCACAUAAAGUUCUACCAUUAUCUGAGUGAUAGUGAAGAUAAAAAACCGAUUGUUCUCUGCAGUUCAUUUUAUAUUCAAAUAAAACUACUAUGUGCGUAUAAUCCCGACUUGUUCACUGUUUUAUUUAUUCUAUGAUGUUUAUUUUCACCUACGAAUUACAUGUGCAUUUGUUCCCUGCAUCAUUUCCUUUGCCGCCUAUGAGUUUUGACUUGUUUGAAUGUAUUUCUUCUGUUUACAAGCAGUUUGAUAUACACUGACAUCUGCACUUUCAAUUGAGCUCUGAAGAGCUGAUGAGUGAGCUAAGCUAGUUGUCAACUACUGUCCACACGAUACCUAUUUUUUAGGAAGAGAAUCCAUAACUGUACUUGGAGUUCAAAGGCAUCAACACGAGUCUCGUUUACGGCGCGAAGGAGGGUUUGGUUAAUGUGCCAGAUUCUUGCGGAGUAAUUUUCAAACACAAGAACCUUUUCUAUUGAGGAAAAUAUCCAAUUGAUGGUAAGGUGAGUUCUUAUUCAUGUUGUUUCAUCUUCUAUAUUUGCAUUGAUAUUCGAUUGUUGCCGGAUUGAAUUUUUAGUUAUUAAAUUUAGUGACACCACUGUCUUUGUGUUGAUGUUGUCAUCGGAGCAAUAUUUCUUUUGGGUCAAGAUGAAACUAAUUGUCCCCAUUAUUUUAAUGUCAAUGUACGGAUGAAUAUUGUAAGACACUGGAUUAUAUAAAUGUGUUAGAUUAGCUUCGGGUUAGGAUAUAUAUAGUCGCCAGCUUAUCCUAGACCCGUUCUUCACGAUUCUAUCAACGCUGUCUUUGUCUUCCAAAGACUUUCCAAUGAAAGCUUCAUAUGUUUAUUCAUUGUAGAGGGUGGAAAAGUUAGAGGUCAAAUGAGUGCGUAUUUGAAUGCAGUACCACAUCGUCUAAUGCAUUAUAAAAACUAAGCUGAUCACGUAUAAAAUGAAAGGACCUCUACCUUUUAGAAUCAUGAAGCCGUGUGACGAUGACAUAGCGAACUAUUCUUUCGCCUUUUACUAAAGAAUAUCGUGUCAGCAUCACAUUUAGCGGCAUGCGCUAGUUUUUGGAAGAGUCCUCUUCAUUGAGGGCUCUGCAAUUUUAGUUCAAGUAUUUUUAAUAAUUUUUCCUUUUCAUACCUUUCUGAAUUUCACUAACCUUUUGCGUUAUACUUUUUUGCAGGAUGCUUGUAGUAUGAAUUUUGUGUAGGAUCUUGGCCAUUAACAAGUGCAGUUCGUGGAGGCAUUGUGAAACUGAAGAAUUUUGUGUAUUGAUUAU